This is a non-coding RNA of Pelobates cultripes (western spadefoot toad), 202 nucleotides long. NCBI's taxonomy places the organism in Eukaryota, Metazoa, Chordata, Amphibia, Anura, Pelobatidae. The record is from the annotation of a GenBank genome assembly.
AAAAGAGCCUCUUGGACUGCGCCAAAUGGGCACAGAGAGGCGGAGAAGCAGGAAUGUUACUACCUGGCCACAGAGACAGAGAACUGCACACCUUGCAACCUGGGCACAGAGAAUCAAGCCUCGUCCAUGCUAAACCCACAUUUGCCCAGAAAUCAGAAAGGCAUGUACCUUGUAUCCUGGGCACAGAGAUUCUGAGUAGCAG